UUGACCUCGGAUCAGGUAGGAAUACCCGCUGAACUUAAGCAUGGCAAUAAGCGGAGGAA
This 59-nucleotide ribosomal RNA is filed under the name Fusarium asiaticum. RNAcentral describes it as "partial 28S ribosomal RNA". Lineage: Eukaryota; Fungi; Ascomycota; Sordariomycetes; Hypocreales; Nectriaceae. The record is from RNAcentral.